GAUGAAGAACGUAGCGAAAUGCGAUAAGUAAUGUGAAUUGCAGAAUUCAGUGAAUCAUCGAAUCUUUGAACGCAUCUUGCGCUCCUUGGUAUUCUGAGGAGCAUGCCUGUUUGAGUGUCAUUAAAUUCUCAACUACACUGACUUUGAAUUGGUGUGGCUUGGAUUUGGGGGGAAAAUUGUUGUGGGCUUUUUGUAUAGUCUGCUCCCCUGAAAUUGAUUAGCGGUACCUUUGUGGAACUGUCUACAGGUGUGAUAAUUAUUUACAUCUUAGACAUCUGCUGGAAUGCUGCUUUCUAAACCUUACUUGUAUUGACAAUCUUGACCUCAAAUCAGGUAGGACUACCCGCUAAACUUAAGCAUAUCAAUAAGCGGAGGA
RNAcentral lists this unclassified non-coding RNA (376 nucleotides) under soil metagenome. Its description in RNAcentral is "partial contains 5.8S ribosomal RNA, internal transcribed spacer 2, and large subunit ribosomal RNA". The stretch from base 1 to 120 matches the Rfam family "5.8S ribosomal RNA", at positions 35 to 154 of the family's 154-position model. The record is from RNAcentral.